RNAcentral lists this ribosomal RNA (468 nucleotides) under uncultured bacterium. Its description in RNAcentral is "partial 16S ribosomal RNA". It matches the Rfam family "Bacterial small subunit ribosomal RNA", at positions 28 to 507 of the family's 1533-position model. The record is from RNAcentral.
GACGAACGCUGGCGGCGUGCUUAACACAUGCAAGUCGAACGGAAAGGCCCUGCUUUUGUGGGGUGCUCGAGUGGCGAACGGGUGAGUAACACGUGAGUAACCUGCCCUUGACUUUUGGAUAACUUCAGGAAACUGGGGCUAAUACCGGAUAGGAGCUCCUGCUGCAUGGUGGGGGUUGGAAAGUUUCGGCGGUUGGGGAUGGACUCGCGGCUUAUCAGCUUGUUGGUGGGGUAGUGGCUUACCAAGGCUUUGACGGGUAGCCGGCCUGAGAGGGUGACUGGCCACAUUGGGACUGAGAUACGGCCCAGACUCCUACGGGAGGCAGCAGUGGGGAAUAUUGCACAAUGGGCGGAAGCCUGAUGCAGCAACGCCGCGUGCGGGAUGACGGCCUUCGGGUUGUAAACCGCUUUCGCCUGUGACGAAGCGUGAGUGACGGUAAUGGGUAAAGAAGCACCGGCUAACUACGUG